Molecule: ribosomal RNA, 397 nt
Filed under: uncultured bacterium
Lineage: Bacteria
Description: partial 16S ribosomal RNA
Rfam family: Bacterial small subunit ribosomal RNA
Source: RNAcentral
AUACGUAGGGGGCGAGCGUUGUCCGGAAUGACUGGGCGUAAAGGGCGUGUAGGCGGCCGAUUAAGUCUGGAGUGAAAGUCCUGCUUUCAAGGUGGGAAUUGCUUUGGAGACUGGUUGGCUUGAGAGCGGAAGAGGUAAGUGGAAUUCCCAGUGAAGCGGUGAAAUGCGUAGAGAUUGGGAGGAACACCAGUGGCGGAGGUGACUUACUGGGCCGUAACUGACGCUGAGGCGCGAAAGCGUGGGGAGCGAACAGGAUUAGAUACCCUGGUAGUCCACGCGGUAAACGAUGAAUGCUAGGUGUAGGGGGUAUCGACCCCUCCUGUGCCGGAGUGAACACAAUAAGCAUUCCGCCUGGGGAGUACGGCCGCAAGGUUGAAACUCAAAUGAAUUGACGGGG